This 405-nucleotide ribosomal RNA is filed under the name uncultured bacterium. RNAcentral describes it as "bacterial SSU rRNA". It matches the Rfam family "Bacterial small subunit ribosomal RNA", at positions 355 to 776 of the family's 1533-position model. The record is from RNAcentral.
GGAGGAAUAUUGCACAACGGGGGGAACCCAGGUGCAGCAACGCCGCGUGAGUGAAGAAGGCCUUCGGGUUGUAAAACUCUUUUCUGAGGGAUGAGGAAGGACAGUACCUCAGGAAUAAGUCUCGGCUAACUACGUGCCAGCAGCCGCGGUAAGACGUAGGAGGCGAGCGUUAUCCGGAUUUACUGGGCGUAAAGGGCAAGUAGGCGGUAGUUCAAGUCAGUUGUGACAGAUCCCGGCUCAACUGGGAGAGGACGAUUGAGACUGAGCGACUAGAGGACAGGAGAGGGGAGCGGAAUUCCUUGUGUAGCGGUGGAAUGCUCAGAUACAAGGAGGAACACCAGUGGCGAAGGCGGCUCUCUGGCCUGCACCUGACGCUGAAGAGCGAAAGCUAGGGGAGCGAACGGG